RNAcentral lists this transfer RNA (73 nucleotides) under Candidatus Desantisbacteria bacterium CG1_02_49_89. Its description in RNAcentral is "tRNA-Lys". It matches the Rfam family "tRNA". Rfam says of the family: Transfer RNA (tRNA) molecules are approximately 80 nucleotides in length. Their secondary structure includes four short double-helical elements and three loops (D, anti-codon, and T loops). The record is from RNAcentral. Lineage: Bacteria; Candidatus Desantisiibacteriota. RNAcentral also lists the same sequence under 2 other names.
GGGCCAGUAGCUCAGUUGGUAGAGCACCGCCCUUUUAAGGCGGGUGUCGAGCGUUCGAGCCGCUCCUGGCUCA